Molecule: long non-coding RNA, 917 nt
Organism: Polistes dominula (European paper wasp)
Lineage: Eukaryota; Metazoa; Arthropoda; Insecta; Hymenoptera; Vespidae
Source: RefSeq, a predicted model, not a curated record
AAAUGAUAUACAAUAUAAUAAUACUUGCUGAAGAAAUGAUAGAGAACAAUAAUCUUCACAGUGGCCUAAUCAUAUAUUCUGAAAAAAAGCUUUGAAUGAUUGAAUGUUAGACGACGAGAGUAUUAGAAGGAGCACAAAUUUGUUAACAGUGAAUAUUUAUACUCGUAAGAAAUGACAUUUGAAAAAUAUAUAUAUAUAUGUAGUAAUCAUGGUAUAAUAUACACCCAAGCAUAUAUAUCUUUGUAUAGAAGUACAGCAAGAAUUGACAUCACGUUCAUUUUAAGCCGUCCAAACUACAGAGUAUACUAGAAACAGGAAAUAAAAUAAUAUCUAAUUAGAUAUCGUUAAUAUUAUAUCGCUUUCGUAUGAAAUUAUUUAUUAUGAUUGUUAAAUGAUAUCACAAAGUGAUAUACUAACGAGAUUCUAGGAAGAAGUAUUCACUGAAUGGUUUCAAAAUUAAUAUGACAAUUUGAUAAAUGAAUUAAUUAGUUUACUUAAACGUUUCGCACACUGGUCUUUGUAUUAUUAAACAUUUUACUAUUCCAUGAAUAUUUUUGCCUGAUAUUUUAGACUACUAAGUAUGAAGUGUUCGAAUUUUUUACAGUAAUUCGGACAAUUUAUACGUAAUAACAUUAUCUAUAUAUAUAUAUAUAUAUAUAUAUAUAUAUAUGUACACACAAGAGUUUAGUGUUCCUCUUUGACAUUUCAUUGAAGUUUUAAGAAGUAUUGUGUUGAGAGAAAUAUAUUAGAACAAUUAUAAAUAAUAGAAUUAUAUAAAAUAUAAUAGUUUAAAGAGUAUAUUUUUACCAAUAUAUUGAAAUAAACAACAAAUUACUUGAAAUGUAUUAAUCAUAAUGUUGGUACACGAAUAUACUUAGAAAAGAAAAAAAAAAAAAAAAAGAAAAAAACAAGAAAAU